AAGUGUAUAGAAACAUGUUCAACCUCAUAGAUAGAUGGUUUAAGCAGCGGCACAUUUUGUUAUACACAUACAUUGUUACUUAGAGAUUUCCCUGUACACUUUAGAAUAUCUCUAUCCUCUGAACAUUUUUGGCUGCACUACUGAAACCAAUUGUGGCCAGACAAAACUUAAAGCACCUCCACCUACAAGGCAAUUCGAUAUAAAUUCUCUCAGUGCACAUGGCAAAACAUAGGUACAACUACAACAACAACCUUUGGUGUUAGAGCUUCGGGAAGAAAAAGCACAUCAGAUAUGCGAUAUCAGUAAAAAAUCAAUUAUGACUCGGGCGGUCGUCCCUAUCCAUCAAUCUGAUGCCCCCUGGAACACGGUCGGCGACUUUGCACUCAUCCAACUAGACUUCUUCGCAGGAAUACGACGGGUUCCUAACAACAUCACUCGUAUAUCUAAAUUCCUAAUAUGAAAUUUAAUUUGGAACCAUCCGAAAGAAAUAGCAAUUUCUUACA
Folsomia candida is the source of this 503-nucleotide long non-coding RNA. RefSeq lists it as uncharacterized. The transcript has 3 exons. Lineage: Eukaryota; Metazoa; Arthropoda; Collembola; Entomobryomorpha; Isotomidae. The record is from RefSeq and is a predicted model, not a curated record.